This 1021-nucleotide long non-coding RNA is filed under the name Marmota monax (woodchuck). The record is from RNAcentral. Lineage: Eukaryota; Metazoa; Chordata; Mammalia; Rodentia; Sciuridae.
UCCCUUCUGUUCUUAACCCUAUAGGAUUUCCAUGGAAAUCAGAGUGCCCUUCUUCAGAGAAUGUUCUGCAGCACUUAGAAAAAAGUUAUGGUAAUAGCAAGAUACAAUUAAAUAACCUCAGUAACUAGCCUUAGCUGUUAAAAUAUUUUACUUCAUAUCCCUCCAUAAUUUUAUCUUUUUAAACUUUAUUUCAAACUUGUUACUUAGAGACUUAAAACUGCAUAUUUUGGAUCAGAAAAAAGGUCAUGUCCAUUUUUAAAAAACCUUUGAUAAGUCAAUUUAAAAAAAAAAACUGACCUAGAAAAGGUUUAUUGAUAUCGUUUCAUAGUUCAUUAACUGAUAUCCAUACAUAAAACUGUAAUUUACCUUAAGUUCAUAUAUUAGCUGCAGUUUUUAAAUGUCUAAAAGACCCUUAAAUUGGACCAUAAGAUAAUAGAUAGUUUGAAUUUAUAGAAAUAGAAAAUAUUGUCACAUUUAUUUUUAAGCUCAAAGACAAGUAAGUCACUGCUGUGAUAUACUUAAUGCAUAUUUCCAACUUCAGUAUGAAACAUUCAAUUGUAGUUUUCCUGUUUUCACAGAGAAGGGUGACCCAUGUGUGCUUUGGUCUAGUACUGAAAUUUAAAUGGUUAUCAUAUUGCUUGCACCUGUUCUGUGAUAAGUUCUUUUGUAUUAGUGUAUAAAGUGGAACACUUUUCAAAGGCUAAUUUGGUUCCCUAUCUGAUAGGAAUAUAGGAUAUAAACUUCUUUAAUUGCUUGCUUUUUUAAAGUACCAAAUAUGUACUUCUUAAAGUUACAUGUUUAAUAAUAAUAAGUGUUUAAAUGUUUAGAGCAUCCAGUGUAUAGUUGGUGUUACUUGAUUACAAAUUUCCCACUUAACAUUUAUAUUUGAUGUACUUAAAUUUAAUAAAGGCAGCUAAUCUAUAAUUCCACUGUAAAUCUAAUACUUUCUGGAAGUGCAAUGGGAUUGUCCAAGUGUGAAUUAACCUCCCAGUGUUAUGUGGACUACAUAGGGCGGUAAGAC